AUACGUAGGGUGCAAGCGUUAAUCGGAAUUACUGGGCGUAAAGCGUGCGCAGGCGAUUUUGUAAGACAGUGGUGAAAUCCCCGGGCUCAACCUGGGAACUGCCAUUGUGACUGCAAGGCUGGAGUGCGGCAGAGGGGGAUGGAAUUCCGCGUGUAGCAGUGAAAUGCGUAGAUAUGCGGAGGAACACCGAUGGCGAAGGCAAUCCCCUGGGCCUGCACUGACGCUCAUGCACGAAAGCGUGGGGAGCAAACAGGAUUAGAUACCCUGGUAGUCCACGCCCUAAACGAUGUCAACUGGUUGUUGGGGAUUUAUUUUCUCAGUAACGAAGCUAACGCGUGAAGUUGACCGCCUGGGGAGUACGGCCGCAAGGUUAGAACUCAAAGGAAUUGACGGGG
Molecule: ribosomal RNA, 395 nt
Filed under: uncultured bacterium
Lineage: Bacteria
Description: partial 16S ribosomal RNA
Rfam family: Bacterial small subunit ribosomal RNA
Source: RNAcentral